This is a small nuclear RNA of Ochotona curzoniae (black-lipped pika), 136 nucleotides long. RefSeq annotates it as U4 spliceosomal RNA. The record is from RefSeq and is a predicted model, not a curated record. The transcript has a single exon. Lineage: Eukaryota; Metazoa; Chordata; Mammalia; Lagomorpha; Ochotonidae.
CGCUUUGUGCAGUGGCCGUAUCAUAGCCAAUGAGGUUUAUCCAAGGCACGAUUAUUGGUAAUUGAAAACUUUUCCCAAUACCCUGCCAUAACAAAAUAGAGUCUGCAUUGGCAAUUUUUGACAGUCUCCACAGAAA